CUUCAGCUUCACCAGCAAAGCGGCGCUAAUUGAACAAGUAAAACUGCAUUAUUUAGGAGCGGCAUGUUAACCACAUAAGCUGCCUGCAGGCUGAACUCUCCGCUGUGACAAACAGGCAUGGGAUCCUAACAGUCACAAACCCUUUCCCCACUUUUCCUCAUCACUCCUAUCCUCCUUUUGUGACUGUAAGCCUUUUUUAAAAAUAAUUUAUGAUGAUGUUUUUCUUAGUCGCCUUCCUUUUCUGCUCUUUCUCAUCCCAUCCUCAGCCUUCUUUAUUUUGUCCUUUUCCUUAAGUGCUUUUCCUCUUGCCCCCUCCCUUCUUUGUGUGUGUGUCUGUGUGUGCCAUCUGAGGUUGUUUUUCUUUUUCAUGCUCCCAGGCCUACUGUGUGCUGCCAGACCCCCACAGCCAACCAAGAUCUGUGCCCAAAAUUCCUCACUACUGACCAGCCCUUCAUAUUGUGCAUCUCUAUCAUGGGUGUGAAGAUGUUACAGUGCUUUCCCUUCUACAGACGCUGCAAAGAGCGCUGCAAGAGCAGGCAGUGCCCGCCCCCUCCAGUGCCUGUGGAGGAGAUGAAGCCACGUCUGUCCUCUACGACAUCCUGGGGCAGUGACAGCGAAGGAACAGGAAGCAUCAAUCGGGGUUCCCAGAUCUAUUUCUCCACCAAGGCCCGGCUUUCUUUCAGACACCAGCUGGACAGCAACAUCAAUGCAGUGGAUGCCACCUACUGAGGAAGACCCAGGGCUUCAUAGGACUUGAAUGGACUCAGUUUUCCAUCGCCGGUUUAUGCUUGGAGCCCGCUAGUAGAGCAAACACAUUUUGACGCCACCUUUAAAUGGGAAUGGCGGUAGAGUUGCGGAACCACAGUUUGUCUUUUAACUGCUUGUUCCUCGCUGCUCGCACACAACUGCUAAUGAUUCGUCAGAUUCAAAGGACAGAGGGAAAAGGACUGGGAUGAGACGGCGCUCAGAAGUCAGACGAGUAGAUCCGCUGCCCAAUCGGGCAUACUGAUGAGGGCGAGGACAAUGUAGAGAGUUGUUUACAGCGUUCACUACCAAUAAGUGCAUUACUUUGUCUUCUGUUUGGAAGGUGUUUUUUUUUUCUUACUGUGUUUCUUUUAUAUUUCUUUUUUUUUUUUGACUACCUUUGUAGAAAAAGAUCAAUUUGCUGAUUAGAUCAUGGCUGGAGUUAAUUAAGGCUGUUUCACAAAGCAAGAGGAGGAAGAUAGCAUUGAGUGUGAUGAAGUGUGUGACUAUCUAAACCUCAUCAUUAAGUCAUCAUCGUGAAGUAACUUUCUAAUCCUGCUCUGUGACACAGAACCCUGCUAGUUUAAAGUGAGAUAAUAAAACAGAAAAUGGUUUGCUGUUUUAUAAAAGACAUUAACUGUAAAAACAUGAGGUGGGACUGUGUGCAACAUCUGCUGACCAGGUCUGAGCCUGUUUAACAGCAGUGUUGUUAAUAGUUAAUAUUCAUCUGUGAGAUCUACGGUGGCCCUGAUACUUCAGAAAGGCUUGCUGAAAUCCAGUUGUGUUGUGCACCACAGGGCAACCGUAUGAAAUAAGCCGAGCUACACAGCAGCUUAUUUCUGAUAGGUAUUUUCUUAGUCUUGCUUGAUUCUGAUCAAUAUUUUUAAUUAGAAAAAAAGACGCUCUGGCUGUGUUUUUAAAUUGCACGUUUUUUGUUUUUUUUUUUUUUGUAAGAAAACCUUUCUGUAUUUGCCCAAAUUGAAAAACUAUGACUGUUAAAUGCUGAUCAAAAAAAAAAAAAGACUAAUGAUCACUUGUUCAAAUCCAGAGUAUGUCAAAAAUAUCUUCAUUCUAAACUAAGCAAAUAUAAAAUAAGUUGUAACAAAAUGUCUCCGGUGUGUUUUUUUUGGGCUGGGGGAU
Molecule: long non-coding RNA, 1884 nt
Organism: Astatotilapia calliptera (eastern happy)
Lineage: Eukaryota; Metazoa; Chordata; Actinopteri; Cichliformes; Cichlidae
Source: Ensembl